This 358-nucleotide ribosomal RNA is filed under the name uncultured bacterium. Its description in RNAcentral is "bacterial SSU rRNA". It matches the Rfam family "Bacterial small subunit ribosomal RNA", at positions 29 to 414 of the family's 1533-position model. The record is from RNAcentral.
AGCGAACGCUGGCGGCAGGCCUAAAACAUGCAAGUCGAACGCCCGUAGCAGUACGGGAGUGGCAGACGGGUGAGUAACACGUGGGAACGUGCCCUUUGGUUCGGAACAACACAGGGAAACUUGUGCUAAUACCGGAUAAGCCCUUACGGGGAAAGAUUUAUCGCCAGAGGAUCGGCCCGCGUCUGAUUAGCUAGUUGGUGAGGUAACGGCUCACCAAGGCUACGAUCAGUAGCUGGCUGAGAGGAUGAUCAGCCACACUGGACUGAGACACGGCCCAGACUCCUACGGGAGGCAGCAGUUAGGAAUCUUGGACAAUGGGCNCAAGCCUGAUCCAGCCAUGCCGCGUGAGUGAUGAAGG